RNAcentral lists this ribosomal RNA (2907 nucleotides) under Pectobacterium nicotianae. Its description in RNAcentral is "Pectobacterium sp. 21LCBS03 23S ribosomal RNA". It matches the Rfam family "Bacterial large subunit ribosomal RNA". The record is from RNAcentral. Lineage: Bacteria; Pseudomonadati; Pseudomonadota; Gammaproteobacteria; Enterobacterales; Pectobacteriaceae.
GGUUAAGCGACUAAGCGUACACGGUGGAUGCCUAGGCAGUCAGAGGCGAUGAAGGGCGUGCUAAUCUGCGAUAAGCGUCGGUAAGCUGAUAUGAAGCGUUAUACCCGACGAUACCCGAAUGGGGAAACCCAGUGUGUUUCGACACACUAUCAUGACAUGAAUACAUAGUGUCAUGAGGCGAACCGGGGGAACUGAAACAUCUCAGUACCCCGAGGAAAAGAAAUCAACCGAGAUUCCCCCAGUAGCGGCGAGCGAACGGGGAGGAGCCCAGAACCUGAAUCAGUUUGUGUGUUAGUGGAAGCGUCUGGAAAGUCGCACAGUAAAGGGUGAUAGUCCCGUACACAAAAAUGCACAGAUUGUGAGUUCGAUGAGUAGGGCGGGACACGUGACAUCCUGUCUGAAUAUGGGGGGACCAUCCUCCAAGGCUAAAUACUCCUGACUGACCGAUAGUGAACCAGUACCGUGAGGGAAAGGCGAAAAGAACCCCGGCGAGGGGAGUGAAAUAGAACCUGAAACCGUGUACGUACAAGCAGUGGGAGCCUACUUGUUAGGUGACUGCGUACCUUUUGUAUAAUGGGUCAGCGACUUAUAUUCUGUAGCAAGGUUAACCGUAUAGGGGAGCCGCAGGGAAACCGAGUCUUAACUGGGCGUUAAGUUGCAGGGUAUAGACCCGAAACCCGGUGAUCUAGCCAUGGGCAGGUUGAAGGUUGGGUAACACUAACUGGAGGACCGAACCGACUAAUGUUGAAAAAUUAGCGGAUGACUUGUGGCUGGGGGUGAAAGGCCAAUCAAACCGGGAGAUAGCUGGUUCUCCCCGAAAGCUAUUUAGGUAGCGCCUCGUGAAUUCAUCUUCGGGGGUAGAGCACUGUUUCGGCUAGGGGGUCAUCCCGACUUACCAACCCGAUGCAAACUACGAAUACCGAAGAAUGUUAUCACGGGAGACACACGGCGGGUGCUAACGUUCGUCGUGAAGAGGGAAACAACCCAGACCGCCAGCUAAGGUCCCAAAGUCAUGGUUAAGUGGGAAACGAUGUGGGAAGGCAUAGACAGCCAGGAUGUUGGCUUAGAAGCAGCCAUCAUUUAAAGAAAGCGUAAUAGCUCACUGGUCGAGUCGGCCUGCGCGGAAGAUGUAACGGGGCUAAACCAUGCACCGAAGCUGCGGCAGCGACACUUAGGUGUUGUUGGGUAGGGGAGCGUUCUGUAAGCCUGCGAAGGUGGCCUGUGAGGGCUGCUGGAGGUAUCAGAAGUGCGAAUGCUGACAUAAGUAACGAUAAUGCGGGUGAAAAACCCGCACGCCGGAAGACCAAGGGUUCCUGUCCAACGUUAAUCGGGGCAGGGUGAGUCGACCCCUAAGGCGAGGCUGAAAAGCGUAGUCGAUGGGAAACAGGUUAAUAUUCCUGUACUCGGUGUUACUGCGAAGGGGGGACGGAGAAAGCUAGGUUAUCCGGGCGACGGUUGUCCCGGUUUAAGCGUGAAGGUGGGUGACUUUGGUAAAUCCGGGUCAUCGUUAACACUGAGGCGUGAUGACGAGUCACUACGGUGAUGAAGUAACCGAUGCUACGCUUCCAGGAAAAGCCUCUAAGCUCCAGGUAACAUCAAAUCGUACCCCAAACCGACACAGGUGGUCAGGUAGAGAAUACUCAGGCGCUUGAGAGAACUCGGGUGAAGGAACUAGGCAAAAUGGUGCCGUAACUUCGGGAGAAGGCACGCUGAUGGUAGGUGAAGUGACUUGCUCAUGGAGCUGAAAUCAGUCGAAGAUACCAGCUGGCUGCAACUGUUUAAUAAAAACACAGCACUGUGCAAACACGAAAGUGGACGUAUACGGUGUGACGCCUGCCCGGUGCCGGAAGGUUAAUUGAUGGGGUCAGCCGCAAGGCGAAGCUCUUGAUCGAAGCCCCGGUAAACGGCGGCCGUAACUAUAACGGUCCUAAGGUAGCGAAAUUCCUUGUCGGGUAAGUUCCGACCUGCACGAAUGGCGUAAUGAUGGCCAGGCUGUCUCCACCCGAGACUCAGUGAAAUUGAACUCGCUGUGAAGAUGCAGUGUACCCGCGGCAAGACGGAAAGACCCCGUGAACCUUUACUAUAGCUUGACACUGAACCUUGAGCCUUGAUGUGUAGGAUAGGUGGGAGGCUUUGAAGCGUGGACGCCAGUCUGCGUGGAGCCAACCUUGAAAUACCACCCUUUAAUGUUUGAUGUUCUAACGUGGACCCGUAAUCCGGGUUGCGGACAGUGUCUGGUGGGUAGUUUGACUGGGGCGGUCUCCUCCCAAAGCGUAACGGAGGAGCACGAAGGUUAGCUAAUCCUGGUCGGACAUCAGGAGGUUAGUGCAAAGGCAUAAGCUAGCUUGACUGCGAGAGUGACAGCUCGAGCAGGUGCGAAAGCAGGUCUUAGUGAUCCGGUGGUUCUGAAUGGAAGGGCCAUCGCUCAACGGAUAAAAGGUACUCCGGGGAUAACAGGCUGAUACCGCCCAAGAGUUCAUAUCGACGGCGGUGUUUGGCACCUCGAUGUCGGCUCAUCACAUCCUGGGGCUGAAGUAGGUCCCAAGGGUAUGGCUGUUCGCCAUUUAAAGUGGUACGCGAGCUGGGUUUAGAACGUCGUGAGACAGUUCGGUCCCUAUCUGCCGUGGGCGUUGGAAGAUUGAGAGGGGUUGCUCCUAGUACGAGAGGACCGGAGUGAACGCACCACUGGUGUACGGGUUGUGAUGCCAAUUGCAUUGCCCGGUAGCUAAGUGCGGAAGAGAUAACCGCUGAAAGCAUCUAAGCGGGAAACUUGCCUCGAGAUGAGUCUUCCCUGGACACUUGAUGUCCCUGAAGGGCCGUUGAAGACGACGACGUAGAUAGGCUGGGUGUGUAAGCGUAGCGAUACGUUGAGCUAACCAGUACUAAUGACCCGAGAGGCUUAACCUU